This 541-nucleotide ribosomal RNA is filed under the name uncultured Lachnospiraceae bacterium. Its description in RNAcentral is "partial 16S ribosomal RNA". Lineage: Bacteria; Bacillati; Bacillota; Clostridia; Lachnospirales; Lachnospiraceae. The record is from RNAcentral.
CACGUAGUUAGCCGGGGCCUCUUGGUCGGGUACCGUCCGCGGCUCUCGCGAACCGUGUUUCUUCCCCGCUGACAGAGCUUUACGCGCCGAAACGCUUCUUCACUCACGCGGCGUCGCUGCAUCAGGGUUUCCCCCAUUGUGCAAUAUUCCCCACUGCUGCCUCCCGUAGGAGUUUGGGCCGUGUCUCAGUCCCAAUGUGGCCGUCCGCCCUCUCAGGCCGGCUACUGAUCGUCGCCUUGGUGGGCCGUUACCCCGCCAACCAGCUAAUCAGACGCGGGUCCAUCCCGUACCACCGGAGUUUUCAAGAAAGGAACAUGCGUCCCCUUCUGUUAUGCGGUAUUAGCACCUGUUUCCAGGUGUUACUCCCCCGGUACGGGGCAGGUUCCCCACGCGUUACUCCACCCGUCCGCCACUAAGGCCCGCGCCUUCCGGGUCUGGUAAACCACUCCCCUUCCGCCCGCGUCGGCCCCCGUUCGACCUUGCCAUGUGUUAGGCACGCCGCCAGCCGUUCAUCCCUGACGCCCAGGGACUACAAACUUCU